Molecule: ribosomal RNA, 466 nt
Filed under: uncultured bacterium
Lineage: Bacteria
Description: partial 16S ribosomal RNA
Rfam family: Bacterial small subunit ribosomal RNA
Source: RNAcentral
GACGAACGCUGGCGGCGCGCCUAACACAUGCAAGUCGAACGAGCGAGAGAGAGCUUGCUUUCUCGAGCGAGUGGCGAACGGGUGAGUAACGCGUGAGGAACCUGCCUCAAAGAGGGGGACAACAGUUGGAAACGACUGCUAAUACCGCAUAAGCCCACGGCCCGGCAUCGAGCAGGGGGAAAAGGAGCAAUCCGCUUUGAGAUGGCCUCGCGUCCGAUUAGCUAGUUGGUGGGGUAACGGCCCACCAAGGCGACGAUCGGUAGCCGGACUGAGAGGUUGAACGGCCACAUUGGGACUGAGACACGGCCCAGACUCCUACGGGAGGCAGCAGUGGGGAAUAUUGCACAAUGGGGGAAACCCUGAUGCAGCGACGCCGCGUGGAGGAAGAAGGUCUUCGGAUUGUAAACUCCUGUUGUUGGGGAAGAUAAUGACGGUACCCAACAAGGAAGUGACGGCUAACUACGUG